GAAUUCGCCCUUAGAGUUUGAUCCUGGCUCAGGACGAACGCUGGCGGCGUGCUUAACACAUGCAAGUCGAACGAGGAUCGGAAGGGAGCUUGCUCCCGUCUGAUUCGAGUGGCGGACGGGUGAGUAACGCGUGAACAAUCUGUCUCAUACAGGGGGAUAACGCAUCGAAAGAUGUGCUAAUACCGCGUAGGACCACGCUGGGGCAUCCCAGAGAGGUGAAAGGAGCAAUCCGGUAUGAGGUGAGUUCGCGUCUGAUUAGAUAGUUGGUGAGGUAAAGGCUCACCAAGUCAACGAUCAGUAGCCGACCUGAGAGGGUGACCGGCCACAUUGGGACUGAGACACGGCCCAGACUCCUACGGGAGGCAGCAGUGGGGAAUAUUGGGCAAUGGGCGAAAGCCUGACCCAGCAACGCCGCGUGAAGGAAGAAGGUUUUCGGAUCGUAAACUUCUGUCCUAUAUGAAGAUAAUGACGGUAGUAUAGGAGGAAGCCCCGGCUAACUACGUGCCAGCAGCCGCGGUAAUACGUAGGGGGCGAGCGUUGUCCGGAAUGAUUGGGCGUAAAGGGCGCGUAGGCGGCCGGAUAAGUCUGGAGUGAAAGUCCUGUUUUCAAGAUGGGAAUUGCUUUGGAUACUGUCAGGCUUGAGUGCAGGAGAGGUUAUCGGAAUUCCCGGUGUAGCGGUGAAAUGCGUAGAGAUCGGGAGGAACACCAGUGGCGAAGGCGGGUAACUGGACUGCAACUGACGCUGAGGCGCGAAAGUGUGGGGAGCAAACAGGAUAAGAUACCCUGGUAGUCCACACUGUAAACG
This 805-nucleotide ribosomal RNA is filed under the name uncultured bacterium. Its description in RNAcentral is "bacterial SSU rRNA". It matches the Rfam family "Bacterial small subunit ribosomal RNA", at positions 1 to 808 of the family's 1533-position model. The record is from RNAcentral.